GCUGGUUGGCCAGGAAAUGAAUAUAAGUUCAACUUUAAAAAUACCUAAAAAACUGCUAAUUUUAUUGUAUUUUUAAAAGCUAGUCUAAAAGGGUACAGCUUUUUAGAUUAAGGAUACAACCUUCCUUAGAGAGUAAAAACAACCAAUACCAUAGUAGGCUUAAAAGCAGCCAUCAAUUAAGAAAGCGUUCAAGCUCAACAUCAAACUAAACCUUAAUCCCAAUAGUUAACAAGGAACUCCUAAUCCGAUACUGGACUAAUCUAUUAAUUUAUAGAGGCAAUAAUGUUAAUAUGAGUAACAAGAAAUAUUUCUCCUUGCAUAAGCUUAUGUCAGCAACGAAUACUCUACUGACAGUUAACACUUAAUAAACUUAACCCACCGAUAAACAAUUUAUUAAAUCCACUGUUAAUCCGACACAGGGAUGCAUUAAGGAAAGAUUAAAAGAAGCAAAAGGAACUCGGCAAACACGAGCCCCGCCUGUUUACCAAAAACAUCACCUCUAGCAUUACUAGUAUUAGAGGCACUGCCUGCCCAGUGACAUUAGUUAAACGGCCGCGGUAUCCUGACCGUGCAAAGGUAGCAUAAUCAUUUGUUCUUUAAAUAGGGACUUGUAUGAACGGCCACACGAGGGUUCUACUGUCUCUUGCUUCCAAUCAGUGAAAUUGACCUCCCCGUGCAGAGGCGGGGAUACACAAAUAAGACGAGAAGACCCUAUGGAGCUUUAAUUAACUAACUCAAAGAAAAUAUAAAUAACCGCCAAGGGAUAAUAAUCUUCUACCUGAGUUAGCAAUUUCGGUUGGGGUGACCUCGGAGAACAGAAAAACCUCCGAGUGACUAAAAUCUAGACUUACCAGUCAAAAUGUAGUGUCACUUAUUGAUCCAAAAUAUUUGAUCAACGGAACAAGUUACCCUAGGGAUAACAGCGCAAUCCUAUUCAAGAGUUCAUAUCGACAAUAGGGUUUACGACCUCGAUGUUGGAUCAGGACACCCCAAUGGUGCAGCCGCUAUUAAAGGUUCGUUUGUUCACGAUUAAAGUCCUACGUGAUCU
RNAcentral lists this ribosomal RNA (1048 nucleotides) under Camelus bactrianus (Bactrian camel). Its description in RNAcentral is "partial 16S rRNA". It matches the Rfam family "Bacterial large subunit ribosomal RNA", at positions 848 to 2606 of the family's 2925-position model. Lineage: Eukaryota; Metazoa; Chordata; Mammalia; Artiodactyla; Camelidae. The record is from RNAcentral.